AUGAGAGCAAAAUGGGUCAUAACUGUAAAUUUUGUGGACUUCCCUUCAGUUCGGAGCUCUGCCACUGGUCCAUGUCAAAACAUUGGGGGUGACAUGAUUGGUAGCUGCAAGGGGAAGAGUGCCAUGCAAUCCUGCACCGAGGCCACGAACAAGAAGACGACGGAGGUGCUCCCAAGCAACAAGAGGAAGAAGGUCGGGGCAUCAUCAGUUUGCGCACCGUUGCUUCCUGAUGACAUGAUAUUGGAGGUUCUACUUCGGCUCCCAGUCAAGUCCAUUCUCUGCUUCCGGGCCGUUUGCCGCUCCUGGGCUGCAACGUUGUCCUCCAAGGAGUUCUGCAGCCUCCACAUGGCCACCUCUAAGGCAACACCACCAACGCCGAAGCUACUGAUGUUCUCACACGCAACAAGCUUUGGCUCUGCUGCCAUGUACUCAUGCUCGCCGUCAAGCCCCAUAGAUGACUUACUCUUCACCUUUGUCUGUCCCCACUCCGUGGAAGUAGUGACGCCCUCACCAUGCUGUGGACUCACCCUUCUAUACAGUGAUUUUGCGCCAGCUUACUAUGUUUGCAAUGCAGCUACACGGGCAAUCGCACGUCUGCCACCUCACCGCGUUCCAACAUACCGUUCCAGUGCUGGACUGGGGUUUGAUGCCCGGACAAGCGAGUACAAGGUCGUGAGGUUGAUCAAUGGGUUAUCUGAUGAGAAGGAGACGAUCAGGUGUGAUGUGUACACACGUGGAGCUGAUCACUGGAGGCCGGCGACUAGAGGAGUACCCUUCAAAUGGUCCCAGUUUGCAAAUUCUGCAGUUCGUCACGCAGCGAUGAACAAAAUACCACCUGUCUUUGCCAAUGGAUUUCUGCACUGGUUGAUCAAUCCUUCUAUUAUCGUCAAAAGGGCAAGCGCUGCUAUCAUAUCCUUUUCUGUCGCAGAGGAGACCUUCGGAUGUGUCCGUUCACCGCCGUUCUGGGGACCGAGAGAGCAUCUACCCUCCUCGUCCCAGUCAGAAGGAGAGCACCUGGUUGUGAUGGAUGACCAGCUAUGCAUUGUCCGAGACCUUCGCAACAUAAUCCCUCAUGGUAGCACCAUGGAGAUUUGGGGACUGCUGGAUUAUGGCUCCGGUGAUUGGUCGCUGAAUCAUCGAAUUGAUUUGUUUGGAAAGGUAAAAAGUGAAUUGGCCGAGCCACAGAUUGUGAGGGUUAUUGGUAGUGUUGGUAACUGUAAGUCGGGGAAGAAGAUUGUGAUUGCUACUAGCAAUCACUUGGUUCACGCUGAGUUUCAGAAAAAGGUUUACUCAUAUGAUCCUAGUUGUCAAGUUCUAGAGGGCUUCUUUCAGUCACCGAGGCACACGCCUUUUUUACAGGAUUCAUCCCUGGUUCAAGAUUCAGCUUACAUGAAGAGAGCCUUGCUCCAGUGCAUAAAAACCUGGCCUUCAAAAAUGUGCUAA
This 1443-nucleotide ribosomal RNA is filed under the name Triticum aestivum (bread wheat). RNAcentral describes it as "partial small subunit ribosomal RNA". Lineage: Eukaryota; Viridiplantae; Streptophyta; Magnoliopsida; Poales; Poaceae. The record is from RNAcentral.